Molecule: transfer RNA, 73 nt
Filed under: Patescibacteria group bacterium
Lineage: Bacteria
Description: tRNA-Thr
Rfam family: tRNA
About the family: Transfer RNA (tRNA) molecules are approximately 80 nucleotides in length. Their secondary structure includes four short double-helical elements and three loops (D, anti-codon, and T loops). Further hydrogen bonds mediate the characteristic L-shaped molecular structure. tRNAs have two regions of fundamental functional importance: the anti-codon, which is responsible for specific mRNA codon recognition, and the 3' end, to which the tRNAs corresponding amino acid is attached (by aminoacyl-tRNA synthetases). tRNAs cope with the degeneracy of the genetic code in two manners: having more than one tRNA (with a specific anti-codon) for a particular amino acid; and 'wobble' base-pairing, i.e. permitting non-standard base-pairing at the 3rd anti-codon position.
Source: RNAcentral
GCCGAUGUAGCUCAGUUGGUAGAGCACCUCCAUGGUAAGGAGAUGGUCCUCGGUUCAAAUCCGAGCGUCGGCU